GAACGCUGGCGGCGUGCUUAACACAUGCAAGUCGAACGAUGAAGCACCAGCUUGCUGGUGUGGAUUAGUGGCGAACGGGUGAGUAACACGUGAGUAACCUGCCCCUCACUCUGGGAUAAGCCUGGGAAACUGGGUCUAAUACUGGAURCGACCGAUCUCCGCAUGGAGUGUUGGUGGAAAGUUUUUGUGGUGGGGGAUGGACUCGCGGCCUAUCAGCUUGUUGGUGGGGUAAUGGCCUACCAAGGCGACGACGGGUAGCCGGCCUGAGAGGGCGACCGGCCACACUGGGACUGAGACACGGCCCAGACUCCUACGGGAGGCAGCAGUGGGGAAUAUUGCACAAUGGGCGAAAGCCUGAUGCAGCGACGCCGCGUGAGGGAUGACGGCCUUCGGGUUGUAAACCUCUUUCACCAGGGACGAAGCUAACGUGACGGUACCUGGAGAAGAAGCACCGGCUAACUACGUGCCAGCAGCCGCGGUAAUACGUAGGGUGCGAGCGUUGUCCGGAAUUAUUGGGCGUAAAGAGCUUGUAGGCGGUUUGUCGCGUCUGCUGUGAAAGACCGGGGCUUAACUCCGGUUCUGCAGUGGGUACGGGCAGACUAGAGUGUGGUAGGGGAGACUGGAAUUCCUGGUGUAGCGGUGAAAUGCGCAGAUAUCAGGAGGAACACCGAUGGCGAAGGCAGGUCUCCUGGGC
RNAcentral lists this ribosomal RNA (694 nucleotides) under Dermacoccus nishinomiyaensis. RNAcentral's name for it is "bacterial SSU rRNA". It matches the Rfam family "Bacterial small subunit ribosomal RNA", at positions 31 to 735 of the family's 1533-position model. Lineage: Bacteria; Bacillati; Actinomycetota; Actinomycetes; Micrococcales; Dermacoccaceae. The record is from RNAcentral.